UACGUAGGGUGCAAGCGUUAAUCGGAAUUACUGGGCGUAAAGCGUGCGCAGGCGGUUCUAUAAGACAGAUGUGAAAUCCCCGGGCUCAACCUGGGAACUGCAUUUGUGACUGUAGAGCUGGAGUGCGGCAGAGGGGGAUGGAAUUCCGCGUGUAGCAGUGAAAUGCGUAGAGAUGCGGAGGAACACCGAUGGCGAAGGCAGCCCCCUGGGCCAACACUGACGCUCAGGCACGAAAGCGUGGGGAGCAAACAGG
RNAcentral lists this ribosomal RNA (253 nucleotides) under uncultured bacterium. RNAcentral's name for it is "partial 16S ribosomal RNA". It matches the Rfam family "Bacterial small subunit ribosomal RNA", at positions 524 to 776 of the family's 1533-position model. The record is from RNAcentral.